AGGGUUUGAUCCUGGCUCAGGAUGAACGCUAGCGGCAGGCUUAACACAUGCAAGUCGAGGGGCAGCAUGUCCAGCAAUGGAUGAUGGCGACCGGCGUAAGGGUGCGUAACGCGUGAGCAACAUGCCCUAUACAGGAGGAUACUCCGGGGAAACCCGGUCUAAUACUCCAUAGUAUUAUUGAGAGGCAUCUCUUAAUAAUUAAAGCUUCGGUGGUAUAGGACUGGCUCGCGUGACAUUAGCCAGAUGGUGAGGUAACGGCUCACCAUAGCAACGAUGUCUAGGGGUUUUGAGAGGAAGGCCCCCCACACUGGGACUGAGACACGGCCCAGACUCCUACGGGAGGCAGCAGUGAGGAAUAUUGGACAAUGGAUGGAAAUCUGAUCCAGUCAUGCCGCGUGCAGGAAGACUGCCUUAUGGGUUGUAAACUGCUUUUAUACGGGAGCAAUAAGGGUUACGUGUAGCCUGAUGAGAGUACUGUAUGAAUAAGGAUCGGCUAACUCCGUGCCAGCCGCCGCGGUAAUUC
Molecule: ribosomal RNA, 523 nt
Filed under: uncultured Bacteroidota bacterium
Lineage: Bacteria; Pseudomonadati; Bacteroidota
Description: bacterial SSU rRNA
Rfam family: Bacterial small subunit ribosomal RNA
Source: RNAcentral